Non-coding RNA from Paramuricea clavata, 367 nucleotides. The record is from the annotation of a GenBank genome assembly. Lineage: Eukaryota; Metazoa; Cnidaria; Anthozoa; Malacalcyonacea; Plexauridae.
AUGAAAAAUUGAGCUAAAGGGCCUGGGAAGCAAUUGUAAUAAUGGAAAAAAUUCUGUAAAUUUUGUGGAAAAUUUUGUGAUUUCGGAAAAAUGGAGUAUGUUUGGAAAAAUUGUUAUGUCCGAAAAAUUUUUUUGACCCCUAAAAUGGUACACUGACCGAAAAUUUUUUGGCGACGGGGGGGGGGUCGCCAGAAUAUUCCGGAAAAAAAUUUUUUUCAUCUCAACCGUUUGGUUACAUUCUUUCUGGAGUGAGUGCCCCCCCAGAAAUUGAGAGCCAGCUCCGGGCUUGGUCACAGAUGAGGUAGAUACAGAUGUGAAUCUUCCGUCAAAUUAUGUCACACCGAUUAAAUAAACUUUAAAAUUGUAU